Salvia splendens (bonfire salvia) is the source of this 1453-nucleotide long non-coding RNA. RefSeq lists it as uncharacterized. The transcript is spliced from 3 exons. The record is from RefSeq and is a predicted model, not a curated record. NCBI's taxonomy places the organism in Eukaryota, Viridiplantae, Streptophyta, Magnoliopsida, Lamiales, Lamiaceae.
UCUCCGUCUCUGAGUAAUUUCAGUUCAGUAGCUCCCUAAUUAAUUCUUUUUAUGAAAGAAUCCACCAACGCGAUUGAUGCUGCUGUUCUUCAAUUAAAUGUGUAGUAAUCACGGAAUUGGAUAGAAAAUCACAGGAGAAGAGGAUUGUCAAUUUCAGCCGUCAAUCCAAACCAUACCCCUUCAUCUUAUCCGUAGAUUGCAAAUCAUAAUUCCGCCGAAGCAUCGCCUCCAACAUUGCUGUAAAUAUUUCUUGCUCCGACAAACGUAAAGGCAUAGACAGCAAAAACUGGGAAGGAUGUGAAGAGAAGAAAGCUCAUCUUUAUCACCAUUCAGCAGAUUCAUCAGCAAGCCAAUGCAGCCAUCAAUGGAGCUAUUGGAAGUCCAAGCAAGAAGUGUAGAAAUCAGCACAUUGGUUUUGAUUGGACAUCUAGUAGACAAUUUUAAGGAAUCAUUCGAAACCUCAUAUGUUCAGCUGUCUAAACCAGACCACCCUGCCAAAUUAGGACUUUGUUAAUCCUCGGUGAAUUUCGAUCCUUGUGGUUGUGUAUUUCCUUUUAAGUGGCAUCCUCCAAUUACAUCAUGUGAAGGAAUUGUGCAGAUUCUUGGAUGAAGUUUCAACAGAAGCAGAGUGUUCCAGGUAGGCUUCACCGCCUCAGAGUUUGUGAACUGUGCAGUUCCAAAUUGUUGAUAAUUUUGGAAACGAAGACGAGAACAUCUGCAACUUAAUUGUUAGUUCAGAGCGCGCAUUUUUGUUGAUUGCUUUGAUGGACUAGCUGCGGUGACUAUUAAGAACCAUGUUCUUGUGUAUUCUGAAACUUAAAACUUUGACAGUCCGGGUUUUGUAUUUACCUCCUCGGAAGAAAAGAGAAUGAUCGAUGGUGGCAUUGAUGUGAAUUGGGCUGCAACUUUGGUUGGGGAAGACUGUAGAUAUCAUCAAAAAGCCAACAGAACGAUGUGGAACUGCCUGGAAAAGUAGGAUGUAAAGAUGGGGCAUCACUUUGUGAAUCUGAUGGCUAUGAUAUUCAACAUGGAAGACCAUAUGUGUCAAACGAGAGCAACGUUUAUGGUGGCUGCUAAGGCUCCAUCCAGUCACAGACUCGCAUUAUACCGAAAAUUCAAUAUACUCGGUAUUCUUAGGGUACAGUAUUUUUCGUCAUCCUUGCUUAAAACUGAUGAAAAUGGGUACAAACUCUCUCUUCACGUUGUUGGGAAUCCAGGCUGGCCUCUCAUGUGCAGGGAGAAGGAUCAAACACUACAAUGAUUCGGUAUUAUUGUAAAUAAAUAGUAGUAGUAUUUGAUUUGUAUUUUAAGUUUUGGUGAUGUGGUGUAUAUUAUAUGGAGUAUGUCUUAUUUUGGGACAAAAUUCAGAUGGCAAAUUGGAGACUAGGACAUGCAUGGGUAAAUAUUAUGUAUAUUUAAAAAUUAAAUACUCAUUCUUUUCCCAUUUUUUCCA